Molecule: long non-coding RNA, 619 nt
Organism: Bubalus bubalis (water buffalo)
Lineage: Eukaryota; Metazoa; Chordata; Mammalia; Artiodactyla; Bovidae
Exons: 2
Source: RefSeq, a predicted model, not a curated record
CCUCUCGGGGGGAGCCGCCUAGCCACCUGCUCGCCCGUGGGCUCACGACCCGGAGCGGCUACACCGCAGCAACAGCAGCAGGACCCCACCCCGCCCGCCCGCGGCCGGACGCUGCUCUUGCGGGCCUGGUCCCGGAAGGGAGGCCCGCUCCGCGACCGACCCCGCGCACCGUGACGGCGGGGGCGGCGGGCCGGGGGAUGGGCGGCCGGAGCCAGAAAAGGCAGAGAGGACCCAGAGAUCAAAUUGCCAACAUUCGUUGGAUCAUACAAAAAGCAGGAGAAUUCCAGAAGAACAUCGACUUCUCCUUCAUUGUCUAUGCUAAAACUUUUGACUGUGUGGAUCACAACAAACUGUGGAAAAUUCUUAUUAAAGAGAUGGAAAUACCAGACCACCUUACCUGCCUCCUCAGAAACCUAUAUGCAGAUCAAGAAGCAACAGUUAGAACAGGACAUGGAACAAUGGGACUGGUUCCAAAUUGGGAAAGGAGUGUGGUCAAUCCUGUAUAUUGUUACCCUGCUUAUUUAACUUACAUGCAAUGUAUUGUGUAUAGAAUGUCCAUAUGUAAUAAUGCAAUGUUAUUUAUAUAUGAAUAUAAACACAAUAUAAAAUGUGGUUGUAU